Molecule: ribosomal RNA, 253 nt
Filed under: uncultured bacterium
Lineage: Bacteria
Description: partial 16S ribosomal RNA
Rfam family: Bacterial small subunit ribosomal RNA
Source: RNAcentral
UACGUAGGGGGCAAGCGUUGUCCGGAUUUAUUGGGCGUAAAGAGCGUGUAGGCGGUUAGGUAGGUCCGUUGUGAAAACUCGAGGCUCAACCUCGAGACGCCGGUGGAAACCAUCAGACUAGAGUCCGGAAGAGGAGAGUGGAAUUCCUGGUGUAGCGGUGAAAUGCGCAGAUAUCAGGAAGAACACCCGUGGCUAAGGCGGCUCUCUAGUACGGUACUGACGCUGAGGUGCGAAAGCGUGGGGAGCAAACAGG